Molecule: non-coding RNA, 48 nt
Organism: Schistosoma mansoni
Lineage: Eukaryota; Metazoa; Platyhelminthes; Trematoda; Strigeidida; Schistosomatidae
Source: Rfam
AUCUAGCUGACGAAUCCCAAAUAGGACGAAACGCACUUCAAACUGUAU